UACGUAGGGGGCAAGCGUUGUCCGGAUUUAUUGGGCGUAAAGAGCUCGUAGGCGGUUUCGUAAGUCGGGUGUGAAAACUCUGGGCUCAACCCAGAGACGCCACCCGAUACUGCGAUGACUAGAGUCUGGUAGGGGAUCGUGGAAUUCCUGGUGUAGCGGUGAAAUGCGCAGAUAUCAGGAGGAACACCAGCGGCGAAGGCGGCGAUCUGGGCCAGUACUGACGCUGAGGAGCGAAAGCGUGGGGGAGCGAACAGG
RNAcentral lists this ribosomal RNA (255 nucleotides) under uncultured bacterium. Its description in RNAcentral is "partial 16S ribosomal RNA". It matches the Rfam family "Bacterial small subunit ribosomal RNA", at positions 524 to 776 of the family's 1533-position model. The record is from RNAcentral.